This 253-nucleotide ribosomal RNA is filed under the name uncultured prokaryote. Its description in RNAcentral is "partial 16S ribosomal RNA". It matches the Rfam family "Bacterial small subunit ribosomal RNA", at positions 525 to 777 of the family's 1533-position model. The record is from RNAcentral.
ACAGAGGGUGCAAGCGUUGUUCGGAAUUAUUGGGCGUAAAGGGCGCGUAGGCGGUGCUGUAAGUCUGUGGUGAAAUCUCUGGGCUCAACUCAGAGUCUGCCAUAGAAACUGCAGUGCUGGAGUGUGGGAGAGGUGAGUGGAAUUGCAGGUGUAGCGGUGAAAUGCGUAGAUAUCUGCAGGAACACCCGUGGCGAAAGCGGCGCGCUGGACCACAACUGACGCUGAAUGACGAAAGCUAGGGGAGCAAACAGGA